This is a long non-coding RNA of Homo sapiens (human), 561 nucleotides long. Lineage: Eukaryota; Metazoa; Chordata; Mammalia; Primates; Hominidae. The record is from Ensembl.
GAUUACGGAAAGAAUACACAGAGCUUUAAAAUACAUGCAAAUUAAAAUAUCAGUAAAUAUUAAAAAUUCAACUCCUUUAUAAAAUUUUUUUCUUUACAUUGGAUAUAUCUUUUAUACAUCAAAUAGGACUGCUUCCAAACUAGAAAUAAUUAUUUUGAAAAUUCUAUUAAUUGCUUUUUAGAUAUUAAGUCAAAUAUUUACUGUGACUUUAGGUAAAAACUGACAACUUUCUACAUACGAAUUUUAUAUAAAUAAAUAAUUGCUACUUAAGUCAAACAGAAAUAAUUCUUCUGAUAAAAAUGCACCAGACUUCCUGAAACGUUACCAGAAGAAAGGUUAAAUGUCACAGAUUCUAACCAAUGUCUAUACAAAGUAACUUUUAUGGUUUUGACUCAAAAUGAACUCAUUCUACCUUUGUCAAACUACUGAGGUGGAGCCUAAAUACAAAGUAAGAGAAAAAAAUUCAUGAUGAUGAUGUCAUAUACUAAAAAUCAAAGCUGUUCUAUUUAAAAAGCAAAAAUGAAAAGCGAGAAUGAAUAAAACAAAUCCCCACGUACUAAA